AUGCAACAGAACUUUGAAAAGAGAGUUAAAGAGUACCUGAAAUUGCUGAAAAGGAAGCGAAGGAAACCAGUGCUAGCUGCGUCAUACUUCCCCGUUCGCUUGCGGUCGGGGCGCUGUGGCCAGCGUUGUCAGGCUUGGCUGGGUUGGGCGGAAAUGCGCGUAGGGAGAUUAGACCUGCGUGUGUCUGCGUUCGACCUGCCUGAGGUUGACGAAAUGGUUUUCUUUUUCCCGUCUUGAAACACGGACCAAGGAGUUUAACAUAUGUGCGAGUACAGGGGUGGCAAACCCCGGUGCGCAAUGAAAGUGACAGUGGCUGGACGCCAGCAAUGGCCGCACAGUCCGCCGGCCACAAUCCCUCGGGAGAACGGUCUGAGUGUGAGCAUACAUGUUGAGACCCGAAAGAUGGUGAACUAUGCCUGAAUAGGGUGAAGCCAGGGGAAACUCUGGUGGAGGCUCGUAGCGAUUCUGACGUGCAAAUCGAUCGUCAAAUUUGGGUAUAGGGGCGAAAGACUAAUCGAACUAUCUAGUAGCUGGUUCCCUCCGAAAUUUCCCUUAGGAUAGCUGCGAUCGAUUGUCAAUUUUAUCA
This 586-nucleotide ribosomal RNA is filed under the name Phaeodactylum tricornutum. RNAcentral's name for it is "eukaryotic LSU rRNA". It matches the Rfam family "Eukaryotic large subunit ribosomal RNA", at positions 364 to 1006 of the family's 3401-position model. The record is from RNAcentral. Lineage: Eukaryota; Bacillariophyta; Bacillariophyceae; Surirellales; Neidiaceae.